RNAcentral lists this ribosomal RNA (4296 nucleotides) under Triticum aestivum (bread wheat). Its description in RNAcentral is "partial small subunit ribosomal RNA". The record is from RNAcentral. Lineage: Eukaryota; Viridiplantae; Streptophyta; Magnoliopsida; Poales; Poaceae.
ACUUGUGCCACUUGGUCUAAUUUGUAUAGAUUGUAUAUUUCCGAGGAUGUGAUGGGCGGUAAGAUCGCGGGGGCGCACGCGCUACGAGCAAGACGGCGACCUAAGGAAGGGACAUCGAGGGAAAACCGACGACCACACACCACCCGGCAGCCAAAAAAAAAAGUGCAGGUACCGACAAACUUCUCGCUUACUGUUCACCCCGAGCAAUACACACCCAGUUUUCUUACUGCACGGAAAGGAAGUUAAGACGCAUUGUUUUCGUUCUUUGGGAUCUGCCUGCUCCCCAUUUUCCUUUUUAAUUUCGUCGGCGGAAUAGAGGAGCGAGCGAGGGAGGAGAGAGGGUGCGGCGGGGUAGGGAGAGGGACGAGCAGGGGAGUAGAGGAGAAAGGAGCUACGGCCUAGGGGACGGAGAGGCUGGAUCCGGUCUCGGAGCGGCCGUCGAGGGGGUUCAGCCGCGGGCGAUCGACGACCACACCUCGGCUCGAAGAGACUGCCGCUGCCGCUGCCGCUGUUCGAACAGGUCCAGCAGUACCGGCCGCUGCUGCUUGCCCUCCCGCCUCCACAAAGGUACCGGUGGAAACGGCUCUCGAGCGUGUAGAAGUUGGGAGUCGGUACAAUCAAAACCCCACCGAUAAAAAACCUAGGCGACGACGGCACGCGGCACGCAGACCUAGUCCGCGUCCAGCGGCGGUAUCCUCUCGUCCCACCGCACCAGAAACACCACCCGUACCUCGUUCCCUCCUACUCCGCGACCAUACUCCUUUCCUCGUCCUUCCAGCCUCAAGGUCCGCCACGACCGGCAGCAGUGUACAGGGGUCAGAUCUAGAUUCUUUUUUCUCUUCCCCUACUUAGACCUCCUUCUCGAACCACUUCUUGUUCCACAAGCAUUACCGUUGCCACCAUUAGUUGCUACUCUUUUUUCCUGGCUCUAACAUAAACAUGAUCGUCCACUACGGAAUUAAAUCAAGUACCGUAAUACCGCCCUACGUACACCAUUUACCAAUGUUACCACCGAGUACCUCAAUUUUAAAACACAAGACAUGUCUAAACUCUACUAUCUUUAAGUUUUAUCUAGUACUGGUGUCGAACGCCUCAAAGUUUUAGAUUAUAGAGAUUAAAGGCGUAGUUCGAUUCACCAGGGCAACAAAUCGUACAUCCGUGAAAGAUAAACAACGAAGUUACAUUACAAAUUCCAACAACGAAAUUGUUACAAACUAGAUCUAAUAGUCAUUUUGUGUGAGUGUUAAUCCACAAGAAGGAACCAAUCGACGAACGUAAAGAAUACAAACUAACCAAGUUCGGUCAUACUGAGAAAAAGAAACGGAAAGUGUCCCCAGGAAACGAUGACAACCAACACAGGAACGAAGAACCUCUCCUCCCUCCCGUUUACUGAAACUACGGUCUUUAUCUCCUCCUUGUAUUCCAGUUCAUAGGUACAACAAACCAUGGAAUGUCUUCUACGUAAUGCGUUACCAGAGCCGUUGACGUCGCUCUAAAGUGUCAGUGCUAAAAAGGUAUAACCAUACCUAAGAUUUUGGAAUAUCCUUUUACGGUAGAAAGUGUUUUACUUUGAUACGGAUGUCUCGACGACUCCCUACGGGACAUCACCUGACCGACUCUGACAGCUCGUAGUCCAACGUUUAGAGGUCUCCAUGUUCCCCGAGUAACCAUCGGACCGGACGAAAACCAUAUAGUUACUCCUGUAGGGACUGCAUUUAAGCAAAGCACUGUCACCCACUAACUCUUUCCUCGGGUUCGUCUUCCGUCUUGUGUCUACCUCGUCAACUGAACAAGAACAAGUAAAGGGAAAGGCGUUGCUUAUCUUAGGUUAAUUAAUUAAACCCACAUACGACUAACUCUAUCAAUUAGUUAACCCAUACAUCUGGUACCACAACCAUCGUACCCCACCGGUGUAGGUCGCUCCCACCGCAAGACACCUAAACCGCGGGGGGUAGGGUCGUCGUGUACCCUCGGCCACAGAAGCCCUUCUCGACCCAGAGGAACGGCCGCUGGAGUGGUAGAACGGUCGCUGAAGUGGAAGUGGUCGGGUAGAUGUCUUUUAACCGACGCAAGUGUUAUCACUACACUACCUCGAUUACUCUCCCGAGUAUUUAGUCGAAUCACUCGAAUAUAGAACCAACCCGUGUGUCCUGGAACCAGGCUCCUCGAACCCUGAAAGGGUGUUGAACAGAUCUAUGUUCGACUUUAAGUCAGGAUUUUUCCACUCAGUUAUGACACUAAUCAAGUGAACCGACUUGGUACAAUCAUGUCUCGAUUUAUAGGUAUCUUUUGUACGUUUCAAAGACUAUCUAGAAUAAGUCUACAACAUUUGCUGUAGUUGAUCUACGAAAAACAGCUAUAACGUAAUAAUGGUUUAUUUUGUUUAUUUUAUUACACCGAAACACCAAACUCUGACUAUGACUAUGAAGUAUAAUCAACGAUUUUUAUACACGAAGUCAUAAACUGAUGAACACGCUCCCACGUGUACAUUCGGCACUACCCAAAGAUCUCAUCCAAUACAGAGGUAAUACUUUAAAAGGUAUGGUACGUUAUUGGACGAUUUUUACCUAUAAGAGUUUAUCAUGAUUCUUUUAUCAUAACAAAGAUAAAUAAAAUUAUACUCGCGGAGAUAAAUCUCCUAAGAUACAGAUUAAUAAGUUUCAAGAUUAUAUACUUCUAUAUACGAGUAGAAAUAAAACAAACUACGUAAAGAGUAACUCUUUGACCUUAUACUUUGAUAAUAAUAGAUAGUCCACUCCUUAAGUACCCGAACAUUGUACCUUUUUAUUAACAUUCACAUCAAAGUCCAUUCUUGUACGGCUUAUAUUGUCGGCUUCUUCCUUCCCUGUACUCCGACAUUACAGAAAAAAUAAGGGUAAGGAAAGUCCUUCAGUGUCGAUCCUCACCACCCACCUGUAUAUUGACAGACAAUCGGGAAAAUACACAAAGACUUACUUCACCCUUGAUUACGAUCUAAGAAAAGGACUAUGUAUUAAUUAUACAUGUGAAUGGUGUGAUAGCACUAGUGUUUACAAAUGUUGACAGACUUAGCACACUAACGUUUCAUCUUGGGUGUACUAACUAUGACUGCUACAUUACACAAUAGUCGUCAUAUAGAGUUAAAACUUACACUGUACAUGACAUACAUAUACGUUUUUAACUCGAAAAACAGUUGGAGAUACAACGGACUCAAAGGUUGAAAAAACGAACGAGGCUAGGAAGUAACACGAACAAUCGUUAUGAUGUGAAACAAUAAAAGUGUUCCUCACAUCAAGGUACUUUGCACUUUAAAAUAAUACAAUCCACAUGUAAAAUGGAUACCGUGAUUGGAGAAAAUAAACAGAUACAUUACUGGUAUACGUAUUUAUCAGCUUUUACCACAAACUUAUGAAGUAAAAAUCAACUAAGAAUGAUACGUGGACUUACCAAAGAUUUUAAAUUUUAAUAAUUUCUUUGUGUUAAACAAAGUUUUGUGUAACCUAAACUUAAACCUGGAACGCGGUGAACCGAGAUCGAUACAAUGUACUUAUUCUAUUGUUUUAUACGUACGAGUUCAUAUGUAAAAGUUUCUAGGAAGUAAAAAGUAGAAUUUCCCAAACUUCAUCAUGGGAUUCACCAACGAUUUUGGAUGAAGAUGAUUACUUCAGUUUAAUAAAGUUUUGUGAAGCCCAAACUGUACCAGAAACCCGAACGAGUUUGUACUUCAAUAACUUUUUUACUCUAAAGGAACUAUAUACCAAGAUGUUCACACAGUAUACCUGGUUACUUUCGUUUCUAUAAGGCCUCUAUUAUUGAUAUACCCGAUGAGGUUUACCAGACUCUCACCUUGGUUGUGGAAAAUAUCCGGAAGUUCAUGGACACACCUUCAGAUGGUACGUUCGUAAUAGGCUGCUGACCGUGAGACGAAAAAGCAUGUAUAGGAGACUUCUGGUACUAGUCUGAUUCUUCUACGGAUUUAUACGACACUCCGACGGAUAUAUAUUCACAUAAAGACAUUUAACUAUAGUCAGUAAGAUGAUAGACAUUUGGUUAAAUUCAGUAAGAUGAUAGACGUUAUGUUAGGGGUAAUGUAAUAGAAAAGUAGAUGUAAAGAAUGAAUAAGAAGUGAUUGUAACGAAGAUUAACCGAAGAACGCGGUAACCGCGUUGGCCCAGUAGAUCAUACUGAUAUACUUCCUAUACUAAGUUCCAGUUGUUGUUCCGGUACAAAUGUCAUUUCUUUAGAAGAAGACCAUUGGCUUCUUCUAAUUUCCGUGUCUGAAGAAUGGUAGUGACGAUGGUGAUAAUAACAAACCGG